GACCAGACUUGGGCUUGGUUGAUCAUCCGGGGUUCUCCCCGGUGCACUCUUCCGGCCCAGGCCAGCAUCAGUUCGCCCUGGGGGACAAAGGCUUCGGGAACGUGGCUCUCUCCGGGGAGUGUUAUAGCCCGUUGCGUAAUACCCUGUGGCGGACUGAGGUUCGCGCAUUCGCAAGGAUGCUGGCGUAAUGGUCAUCAGUGACCCGUCU
Molecule: ribosomal RNA, 208 nt
Filed under: Beauveria sp. f51
Lineage: Eukaryota; Fungi; Ascomycota; Sordariomycetes; Hypocreales; Cordycipitaceae
Description: partial 28S ribosomal RNA
Source: RNAcentral